GCUAGUAGGGUCCCCAACGGAUUAGCAGCGGCGGCGGCAGCAGCGACUGGCGGAAGUGACGCGCUGACUGACAGGAGAGAAUGGACUCCAACUGACUCUUCUGCAGCUAGAUUGGCCAACUGACAGCAGUAAAACCAAAGGAAAUCUGACACCGAACAGGUGGUGAGGGAGAUAGUGGAGGCUCCUCCCGUCAGACAGAUGGGAGAAGCCUAGAUUGCAGGGGAGACCUACCUCCACCCUCAGCUAAGCAGGACUCUUCUUUAGCUCAGCAGCAGUGCCCUGUGUGGCUUUUUUGCCCACCCCACAGAGCAGAAUUCAGCGAGCCCUCUCCCUGCAUAGUCCUAGAAGAACUGUGACUCAAAGUCCCGUAUGAGCCUUCUUACUUGCAAAAAGUGUCCAUUUCCGUGUCGAAGAGAAAAUACCGGUCUUUGAAACUUACCAACACAAUAGGUUUACAACUCUGAAAUCCUUCCGAGUAUUAUUCAUCAUUUGCUUUAAACUAGCAUCUGCAGGCCUCAGCCAGGUUGGAGCCACACGGUGGUAGAUGCCGUGUAGACCUACGACACUCUGUGCUCUGAAGAGCUUACUGAAGAGCUACAGCUGCAGGCUGUAGUCACAGCAUACUGAAGUCUGACACAAAACCAAGCCCCAACCCCAACCUCCCCAGCAUUUCCGCCAUCGUGGUGCCUGCUUGCACAGCUCUUCCCCUGCCUGUGCAGAAGGGAAGGAAUGCCAACCAUGUGGCAGUUUAAUCCCCAUCAAAACCCCUUAGGCGCUGCAGGGUUUGAGGCAGGACUGAAGAGAACCACUCCAUGGUACCAUCCCUUGUACUGCAGCAUGGAAUUCAGGGAGGGAGUCAACGUGGCUUAACUCCUUCUGGGAUUGCAUUCCUCCCCUGGUUGAGGAGGGAGCAGUGCCUAGGAGCUUCCCAUGCAGACAACUCUGCAGAUGUGGUGUUGCCUUUACACAGAGAUCCCCUGGAGGAAGAGCUGGGAGGCCUUGUUCUUUUCCCACUCAAGCGCUCCCACCUCUCCUCCUCCCCAUGGAAGCCACUGGGCAGUAACUA
This is a long non-coding RNA of Chelonia mydas (Green sea turtle), 1066 nucleotides long. RefSeq lists it as uncharacterized. The record is from RefSeq and is a predicted model, not a curated record. The transcript is spliced from 4 exons. Lineage: Eukaryota; Metazoa; Chordata; Testudines; Cheloniidae.